RNAcentral lists this ribosomal RNA (812 nucleotides) under Fossombronia foveolata. RNAcentral's name for it is "eukaryotic LSU rRNA". The stretch from base 397 to 550 matches the Rfam family "5.8S ribosomal RNA". The record is from RNAcentral. Lineage: Eukaryota; Viridiplantae; Streptophyta; Jungermanniopsida; Fossombroniales; Fossombroniaceae.
GGAGAAGUCGUAACAAGGUUUCCGUAGGUGAACCUGCGGAAGGAUCAUUGUACACACAAUCAAGCAAACCAGUGAACUGUGUCGUCCCUCGAGGGAUCGCACCCGGAGGUGCGGUCGCCGACGGCCUGCCGGUCCCCUCCUUCGGGGGGUGGCCUUCACAGGUGCCGAGUGGUUUAUGGCACGUCGUCGGCCGGGGCUCUCCUCGGUACUCCUCGAUUCUCCGAGGGGCCAUCUCCCCCCCUUACACAAGGGGGGGGGGGGGANGGGUCCCCCCCCCCGGGCGGGCUAUGGGGCAUCCGGGGCCGCGUUUUCCACAACAACAAUGAGCAACUACACAUUGUGAGACUGAGCUUCUGGCCCCCCCCAGGGGGGGGCCGAAAUCGAGAAUCGAAAAACGACUCUCAGCAACGGAUAUCUUGGCUCUUGCAACGAUGAAGAACGCAGCGAAAUGCGAUACCUAGUGUGAAUUGCAGAAUUCCGCGAAUCAUCGAGUCUUUGAACGCAAGUUGCGCCCGAGGCUUGUCCCGAGGGCAUGCCUGCCUGAGCGUCACCGCAAUCCCACCGGGGUCUACUCCCCGAGUGAAGCUGGCCGUCCGUGGCCCGGCGUCGGAGCCUGUGGCCGCGGUCGGCUGAAAUGGAGCGUUCUGGACGUAGCCGAAACCGGGAGGCCGCGAGAAGGUGAUUCGCCCAAAAUACCGGGCGGAGUCUAUUUGACAGCGCCUCCCGUUUCGGAGUUCCACUGAACCGGUCGCAGGACUCACACGAUAGUGAGGUGUCCCAGCUUGGACCUCAGAUCAGGCAAGAUUANCCAA